UAGGGAAUUUUCGUCAAUGGGCGAAAGCCUUACCCAGCAACGCCGCGUGAGGGAAGAAGGUUUUCGGAUUGUAAACCUCUGUCCUGGGGGACGAAGGAAGUGACGGUACCCCGGGAGGAAGCCCCGGCUAACUACGUGCCAGCAGCCGCGGUAAUACGUAGGGGGCGAGCGUUGUCCGGAAUUAUUGGGCGUAAAGGGCGCGUAGACGGGCCGAGUAAGUUAUAGGUGAAAGCCCAUCUUUCAAGGAUGGAAUUGCCUGUAAUACUGCCUGGCUUGAGUGCAGGAGAGGGAAGCGGAAUUCCUAGUGUAGCGGUGAAAUGCGUAGAUAUUAGGAGGAACACCAGUGGCGAAGGCGGCUUUCUGGACUGUAACUGACGUUGAGGCGCGAAGGCGUGGGGAGCAAACAGGAUUAGAUACC
Molecule: ribosomal RNA, 418 nt
Filed under: uncultured bacterium
Lineage: Bacteria
Description: bacterial SSU rRNA
Rfam family: Bacterial small subunit ribosomal RNA
Source: RNAcentral